Long non-coding RNA from Engraulis encrasicolus (European anchovy), 856 nucleotides. RefSeq lists it as uncharacterized. The record is from RefSeq and is a predicted model, not a curated record. The transcript is spliced from 3 exons. Lineage: Eukaryota; Metazoa; Chordata; Actinopteri; Clupeiformes; Engraulidae.
GGCAAGUCUUUAAAAGCAGGCACAGUUCACUGUGAAGAUGAGGCAGAUCCUUAUGUUUGGCAAGUGUGCCAGUAGGUCCUUUAGCCGAAGCUCGGGUGGAUCCGCGUUUUACGCACAUGUGGCAUUUGCGUAGAGCGGAGUUCCUGUAUCCAUCUUGGCUGUGGGCCUUUGGCUUGGUCGUAGCCUAUUUGGCAUUGGGCUGGUGUCGUACUCCUCUGCCGGCUGGUUCAUCUGCUCCUGCUUUAGAGACUGUGCCUCAUCUCUCGCGGUGGUGAGGGUCCCCAAACUCGCCAAGCGAACUGCUACAGACGGGUUGCUGUUUUGUUUGGAAUGGAUGUGCACUGAGUGCGUGUUUGUCUGAAUAUCUGAGUUGCCUUUGGUAGGCUAUGUGAGACGCACAUGUGGAUGAAUGCUGGAACGAUCGCUGACUUUGUUGUUUUUAAUAUUUUGUUUGGUUAACUACAUUACUGUCAUUUUGUUUACACUGCACUUGUGAUUAGGCUAGUGUACCUGUGCCAAGCUCCGCCGACCCCAUAUAAUCUUGCGUGCAGUGCUAUAGAGUGCCCGUUUGGCACCCGUGUGGUUUGCAGUGAUACUCGUGUGUAAUCAUUAUUCUUUAUUUUUAUUUAUAGUUUGUUGUGUUUUGUCUGGGUGGGUUGAUUUUACACCUUGAGUUACAAAGGGUCGGGGAACGUAUUUGGUAUGGGACAUCAAGCGGAUCCAAUUGUGCUCCGUAGAAAAUGCUGAUUCUUUGUAGUACAGCCACCAUAGUUGUCCAAAUCUGUUUCUACUGUGUCUUUUUAAAGUAGUUGGCACAUUUUAAAAACAACUGUCUGAAUAAAAAGAAAGUCAACUG